Ictidomys tridecemlineatus (thirteen-lined ground squirrel) is the source of this 72-nucleotide non-coding RNA. The record is from Rfam. NCBI's taxonomy places the organism in Eukaryota, Metazoa, Chordata, Mammalia, Rodentia, Sciuridae.
GGGGUUGUAGCUCAAUGGUAGAGUGCUUGCCUCACAUAUAUGAGUCACUGGGUUCAAUUCUCAGCAUCACAU